CUCUUUUCUCCUGAGUCACAUUCGCACUAAAAAAUGUCUCAGAUUUAUCAAAAUUAACCACCUGCCCCAAGCUAUUUGCAUAAUUUUUUAACACCCUUUUCAAUGCAUUCCCCCUUUUAAUGACGCCUCACCAAAAAUCAUGCUACCAUCCGCAAAAUGUAAAUGAGUGACAAUCGGAGAAUACCUAUUAAUACAUACUACCUGUAGCCGUCCAUGCAGCACUGCCAUUCGUAACAAUGCUGAAAGCCCC
This 250-nucleotide long non-coding RNA is filed under the name Gossypium barbadense (sea-island cotton). RNAcentral describes it as "long non-coding RNA (GBAR_LNC014254)". Lineage: Eukaryota; Viridiplantae; Streptophyta; Magnoliopsida; Malvales; Malvaceae. The record is from RNAcentral.